RNAcentral lists this ribosomal RNA (792 nucleotides) under uncultured Lactobacillus sp. Its description in RNAcentral is "bacterial SSU rRNA". It matches the Rfam family "Bacterial small subunit ribosomal RNA", at positions 28 to 776 of the family's 1533-position model. Lineage: Bacteria; Bacillati; Bacillota; Bacilli; Lactobacillales; Lactobacillaceae. The record is from RNAcentral.
GAUGAACGCCGGCGGUGUGCCUAAUACAUGCAAGUCGAACGCGUUGGCCCAAUUGAUUGGCGGUGCUUGCACCUGAUUGAUUUUGGUCGCCAACGAGUGGCGGACGGGUGAGUAACACGUAGGUAACCUGCCCAGAAGCGGGGGACAACAUUUGGAAACAGAUGCUAAUACCGCAUAACAACGUUGUUCGCAUGAACAACGCUUAAAAGAUGGCUUCUCGCUAUCACUUCUGGAUGGACCUGCGGUGCAUUAGCUUGUUGGUGGGGUAAUGGCCUACCAAGGCGAUGAUGCAUAGCCGAGUUGAGAGACUGAUCGGCCACAAUGGGACUGAGACACGGCCCAUACUCCUACGGGAGGCAGCAGUAGGGAAUCUUCCACAAUGGGCGCAAGCCUGAUGGAGCAACACCGCGUGAGUGAAGAAGGGUUUCGGCUCGUAAAGCUCUGUUGUUAAAGAAGAACACGUAUGAGAGUAACUGUUCAUACGUUGACGGUAUUUAACCAGAAAGUCACGGCUAACUACGUGCCAGCAGCCGCGGUAAUACGUAGGUGGCAAGCGUUAUCCGGAUUUAUUGGGCGUAAAGAGAGUGCAGGCGGUUUUCUAAGUCUGAUGUGAAAGCCUUCGGCUUAACCGGAGAAGUGCAUCGGAAACUGGAUAACUUGAGUGCAGAAGAGGGUAGUGGAACUCCAUGUGCAGCGGUGGAAUGCGUAGAUAUAUGGAAGAACACCAGUGGCGAAGGCGGCUACCUGGUCUGCAACUGACGCUGAGACUCGAAAGCAUGGGUAGCGAACAGG